GACGAACCGUGCGAAUGUUGUUCGGAAUCACUGGGCUUAAAGGGCGCGUAGGCGGCCGCACAAGUCAGGGGUGAAAUCUUUCGGCUCAACCGGAAAAGUGCCUCUGAUACUGUGCGGCUCGAGGGAGGUAGGGGCGGACGGAACUUCCGGUGGAGCGGUGAAAUGCGUUGAUAUCGGAAGGAACGCCGGUGGCGAAAGCGGUCCGCUGGCCCUCUACUGACGCUGAGGCGCGAAAGCCAGGGGAGCAAACGGG
This 253-nucleotide ribosomal RNA is filed under the name uncultured bacterium. Its description in RNAcentral is "partial 16S ribosomal RNA". It matches the Rfam family "Bacterial small subunit ribosomal RNA", at positions 524 to 776 of the family's 1533-position model. The record is from RNAcentral.